RNAcentral lists this ribosomal RNA (270 nucleotides) under uncultured archaeon. RNAcentral describes it as "partial 16S ribosomal RNA". It matches the Rfam family "Bacterial small subunit ribosomal RNA", at positions 527 to 796 of the family's 1533-position model. The record is from RNAcentral.
CGAGGGUGCGAGCGUUAAUCGGAAUUACUGGGCGUAAAGGGUGCGUAGGUGGCAUGAUAAGUCAGAUGUGAAAGCCCCGGGCUCAACCUGGGAACUGCAUUUGAAACUAUUAAGCUAGAGUAUGGUAGAGGGAAGUGGAAUUUCCGGUGUAGCGGUGAAAUGCGUAGAUAUCGGAAGGAACAUCAGUGGCGAAGGCGACUUCCUGGACCAAAACUGACACUGAGGCACGAAAGCGUGGGGAGCAAACAGGAUUAGAUACCCGAGUAGUCC